This 70-nucleotide transfer RNA is filed under the name Salvia splendens (bonfire salvia). It matches the Rfam family "tRNA". From Rfam's summary of the family: Transfer RNA (tRNA) molecules are approximately 80 nucleotides in length. The record is from Rfam by way of RNAcentral. Lineage: Eukaryota; Viridiplantae; Streptophyta; Magnoliopsida; Lamiales; Lamiaceae.
GGAUUUGUAGUUCAGUGGUAAGAAUGUCAUAUUGUGGCUGUGGAUAUCUGGGUUUGAAUCCCAGCAGCCA